UCCUAGUUAACCUAGGCAGUCUCAUUAGAGUUCCCACCUUUACGUGUUGGCAACUAAUGACAAGGGUUGCGCUCGUUGCGGGACUUAACCCAACACCUCACGGCACGAGCUGACGACAGCCAUGCAGCACCUGUGCAGAGGCCCCGAAGGGAAACGUCAUCUCUGACGUCGUCCUCUGCAUGUCAAGCCUGGGUAAGGUUCUUCGCGUUGCAUCGAAUUAAACCACAUACUCCACUGCUUGUGCGGGUCCCCGUCAAUUCUUUUGAGUUUCACCCUUGCGAGUGUACUCCUCAGGCGGUAUACUUAGCGCGUUAGCUACGGCACAGCUGGGGUUGAGUCCAGCUACACCUAGUAUACAUCGUUUACGGCAAGGACUAC
This 378-nucleotide unclassified non-coding RNA is filed under the name uncultured Chlamydiales bacterium. RNAcentral's name for it is "contains 16S-23S intergenic spacer region". Lineage: Bacteria; Pseudomonadati; Chlamydiota; Chlamydiia; Chlamydiales. The record is from RNAcentral.